RNAcentral lists this ribosomal RNA (301 nucleotides) under uncultured bacterium. RNAcentral describes it as "partial 16S ribosomal RNA". It matches the Rfam family "Bacterial small subunit ribosomal RNA", at positions 509 to 809 of the family's 1533-position model. The record is from RNAcentral.
CAGUAGCCGCGGUAAUACGUAGGUCCCGAGCGUUGUCCGGAAUUAUUGGGCGUAAAGCGCGCGCAGGCGGAUCAGUUAGUCUGUCUUAAAAAUUCGGGGCUCAACCCCGUGAUGGGAAAGAAACUACAUGUCUUGGGUACAGGAGAGGAAAGCGGAAUUCCCAGUGUAGCGGUGAAAUGCGUAGAUAUUGGGAGGAACACCAGUGGCGAAGGCGGCUUUCUGGACUGCAACUGACGCUGAGGCUCGAAAGCCAGGGGAGCGAACGGGAUUAGAUACCCCUGUAGUCCCUGUCUCUUAUACA